AGCGAACGCUGGCGGCAGGCCUAACACAUGCAAGUCGAACGAACCCUUCGGGGUUAGCGGCGGACGGGUGAGUAACACGUGGGAACGUGCCUUUAGGUUCGGAAUAACUCAGGGAAACUUGUGCUAAUACCGAAUGUGCCCUUCGGGGGAAAGAUUUAUCGCCUUUAGAGCGGCCCGCGUCUGAUUAGCUAGUUGGUUGGGGUAAUGGCUCACCAAGGCGACGAUCAGUAGCUGGUCUGAGAGGAUGAUCAGCCACAUUGGGACUGAGACACGGCCCAAACUCCUACGGGAGGCAGCAGUGGGGAAUCUUGCGCAAUGGGCGAAAGCCUGACGCAGCCAUGCCGCGUGAAUGAUGAAGGUCUUAGGAUUGUAAAAUUCUUUCAGCGGGGACGAUAAUGACGGUACCCGGAGAAGAAGCCCCGGCUAACUUCGUG
RNAcentral lists this ribosomal RNA (434 nucleotides) under uncultured bacterium. RNAcentral describes it as "partial 16S ribosomal RNA". It matches the Rfam family "Bacterial small subunit ribosomal RNA", at positions 29 to 507 of the family's 1533-position model. The record is from RNAcentral.